RNAcentral lists this ribosomal RNA (406 nucleotides) under uncultured bacterium. RNAcentral's name for it is "partial 16S ribosomal RNA". It matches the Rfam family "Bacterial small subunit ribosomal RNA", at positions 30 to 526 of the family's 1533-position model. The record is from RNAcentral.
AUUGAACGCUGGCGGCAGGCCUAACACAUGCAAGUCGAACGAGUGGCGGACGGGUGAGUAAUGUCUGGGAAACUGCCCGAUGGAGGGGGAUAACUACUGGAAACGGUAGCUAAUACCGCAUACCAUCAGAUGUGCCUAGAUGGGAUUAGCUAGUAGGUGGGGUAAUGGCUCACCUAGGCGACGAUCCCUAGCUGGUCUGAGAGGAUGACCAGCCCCACGGGACCUGAGACACGGUCCAGACUCCUACGGGGGGAGGCAGUGGGGAAUAUUGCACAAGGGGCGCAAGCCGGAUGCAGCCAUGCCGCGUGUAUGAAGAAGGCCUUCGGGUUGAAAAGUACUUUCAGCGGGGAGGCGUUACCCGCAGAAGAAGCACCGGCUAACUCCGUGCCAGCAGCCGCGGUAAUUC